RNAcentral lists this unclassified non-coding RNA (307 nucleotides) under root metagenome. RNAcentral's name for it is "partial contains small subunit ribosomal RNA, internal transcribed spacer 1, and 5.8S ribosomal RNA". The record is from RNAcentral.
UUUUCGUAGGUGAACCUGCGGAAGGAUCAUUGUAGAGUUCCUUUUCAAACAGAUGUGAAGUUGUACCAAUACCCAUUGAGAACUAAUUGUUUUUGCUGUAAGCACUUGCGUUGUUUAGAUGGGUUCCCUUUGCUGCCUUCAUCUUUGCUUCAUAAGUACAGUAGAAAUAAAAGACCGGCAUGGUUUGUGCCAAGGAUAGUUGUUGAGGUACGUUGCCAUCUUUUUGUUGUCUUUGUGUUACUCUAUGAGCAUAUACGUUUGAGCAUAUACACCUGAAUGACUCCUGGCAAUGGACAUCUUAGCUCUC